RNAcentral lists this ribosomal RNA (250 nucleotides) under Trichophyton eriotrephon. Its description in RNAcentral is "partial large subunit ribosomal RNA". The record is from RNAcentral. Lineage: Eukaryota; Fungi; Ascomycota; Eurotiomycetes; Onygenales; Arthrodermataceae.
CAACACACUUCAGAACACGUGGMUCCUCUCAGGGACCGCAUUGUAAUUUGCAGAGGAUGCUUCGGGUGCGGCCCCUGUCUAAGUGCCCUGGAACGGGCCGUCAGAGAGGGUGAGAAUCCCGUCUGGGAUGGGGUGUCCGCGCCCGUGUGAAGCUCCUUCGACGAGUCGAGUUGUUUGGGAAUGCAGCUCUAAAUGGGUGGUAAAUUUCAUCUAAAGCUAAAUACUGGCCGGAGACCGAUAGCGAACAAGA